Molecule: long non-coding RNA, 2362 nt
Filed under: Gossypium raimondii (Peruvian cotton)
Lineage: Eukaryota; Viridiplantae; Streptophyta; Magnoliopsida; Malvales; Malvaceae
Description: long non-coding RNA (GRAI_LNC009558)
Source: RNAcentral
UUAGUCAUUUAGUAAUAAAAAGAAUUAAAAAGGGAAAAAGAUGGCAAAAUGUGCUCAUCUUCUUCAAGGUGAAUGAAAUCAGCAAGGGGGAAGCCAUAGUUAGGGUUUUUAAGCUUCCAAGCUCAAUAGUAAGUGAUUCCAAGCCCCGUUUUUAAUGUUCUUUACGUUUUUAGAGUCCCGGUAACUUAAUUUAGCUUAUUCUAGCAAUAAUUUAACCUAGGAUUUAUAUUUGGAAAAAUACCCAUAGAUGAAAAGUGUUUAUUUUGCUAUUUUAUGGUGUAAUAUGUAGCUAGAAAUUAUGUUAAACAACUUUUGCUAAGCGAUUUUAAACGAAAACGGGUAAAUUGACAUAAUCGAUAAAAAUACCUAAUGUUCAAAAGUGUGUCUUAGAGUGAGGAUUUGAUGUUGUCAUAGAAGGGAAAAAUGUUCAGCAUGUCAUAAAACAUAAGAAUAAGAGAUGAAUUUUAAUUUUCGAGCUUAGAGAUAAAAGUGUAAAUAUGUAAAAGUUUGGGGCAAAAUUGUAAUUUUUCAAAAAAGUUGGGUGGAGGGCUAUUUUAUUAAAUGUGAACAUUAAAUGAGUUAAAUUUGCUAUUAUAGAUCAAGAAAGACGAGAAUACUACCUCAAACGGGGAAAAGAGAAGAUAGUGGAGUAAAUUACAAAAUUACGAUAUUUUGCGCUGAGAUAAGUAAACAUGUGAUUUAAUGCAUUAUUUUGAUAUUAUUCAAUAUAUGUUAGGAUUUAAUAGAACAUAGAAUAAAUAUUCGGCAAGAUCUUAAAAAUGUGGUUAAGUUGGGAAAGGUGGUAAAAUGUUGAAAAUAUGGGUUUCGGUUGAACACUCGAAAUAAGCCGGAGUACAUUGAAUAUAAAGGGGGUUGCUAAGUGUUGAUUCCCCCAAGGGGUUGCUAAGUCUGAUUCUCUGACUCAUUGGUGGUUGCUAAGUGCUGAUUUCACCGUAUCUUUGAAUAUAAAGGGGGUUGCUAAGUGCUGAUUCCCCGAUUCAUUGGUGGUUGCUAAGUGCUGAUCCCAACGUAUUUUAAAUGUGAAGGGGGUUGCUAAGUGCUGAUUCCCCCAAGGGAUUGCUAAGUGCUCAUUCCCCGAAUCAUUGGUGGUUGCUAAGUGCUGAUUCCACCAUAUCUUUGAAUGUGAAAGGGGUUGCUAAGUUCUGAUUCCCUGAAUCACUGGUGGUUGCUAAGUGCUAAAUCCACCGAUAACGAUUAACAUUCUGAGUGUUCAACGAGUAAAUUGGGAAGGUGAAUAUUUAUAUGUGGUGGACAAGUUUAUGGGAGGAAUAUUGGGUUUGAUACUUAAUCAACCCAUGUAUAAGAUGGGAGGAAAUAUCAAAAAUACAAAAGAAACAAUUUAAAUACAAAACUGUUUUGAACAACAGUAGUUGGGAAACUUUGAAAAAUCACCAUAAACGGUGGAAAAUUAAUUAGAGGUUGAAUAAUAUAUGAAAUUGAAGCUGAAUGAGUCUAUUUUCAUAUGAAAGAAACAGAGAAAGCAAAAGAGUUGUAUAUUUGGGGAUAUUUGAAUUUAUUUGAGACAGGGUUGGAUUGAUUUCGAAAUCCCCUGUUCCAACUUUGGAAAAUGACCAAAAAUUGUAAAAAAAUAAUUAUGGCCUAAAAUUUAUAUUCCUGGAUUCCUUAAUGAGUCUAUUUUUAAUAGAAACAAACAAUAACAUUUUUUUAAAUUUUUUACAGGGAGUUAAUUAAAUUUUAGUAAAGGGAGGUCAGAACCAUCGGGUAGUGAAAUAGGGGAAUCUUUAAAAAAUAAACUGUAAUAAUGGGCUAAAUAAAAAAUUCUGAAAAUUUUAUGGUUGAAAUGUAUAUGAGUCUAGUUUUGGGGAAAAUUUACGGAACUUAAUUUGGAGUCUUGUAGCUCCAGAUAAAAAUAAAUUAGCAUCUGUGAUGCAGAAAGACAGUUUGCUGGAAAUUAAACGAACCUUGAAAUUUAUGUAUGAUUAAAAUUAUGUUACUAUGUAAUCAUGUGAGGAAUUUAUUUAUUUUUCAUAUGUUUACUUACUAAGCUAUAUGCUUACUCGUUUUUAUUUUCCCUUGAUUAUAGUGACAUCAGCCAGCUCGGAAUUUGGACGAAGUCAGGAAAUCAUCCACACUAUCAUCAACUUUUUGGGUAUUUUGUAAUUAAUAUUUUUGAAAUAUGGCAUGUAUAGAUGACUUUAUGUGAUGUGGUAUAAGUAUAUAUAUAGUAUUGUUCGGUUUAAUAUGUUGGUGAUUAUUAAUGGAAAAAUUAUGUCUGAACAUAUAUCUGUAAUUGGUUGGAAAUAUUGAAGUUGUUUGAAAUUGUUUUUGAAAAGUUGCAGGGAGUUUUAUGUAAAAACAAGUAGAAAUGCUGCCGAAUUUU